GUUGGGGAGCACGAGGGGGUGGCUCGAGGCGGGAGCGAGGGGCAGGAAGAAAUAGCAGGAAGACCCAGGGGCAGGAGGCCGGUGUUCAAGCGUCGAGGAACGUUUCAUCCCUUCUGAAUCCCAGGCCUCGCUGGACCACGGACCCGCCAGGUUCUCCCGCAACUUGCGGAGCUCCUGGACCGGCCCUUCCCAGAGGCGCAGCGCUGAGUCCCAGGAGCAGGACCUGAACCAGGAAGGGGAGGGGCGAGCACAGUCCUGCCUCCUCCUCCCCGCACAGUGCUGGGGGAAUGACCCCCACUGCCUUCUUCUCCUCCCCCAACACUGCAGGGGGAAUGACCCCCACUGCCUCCUCCUCCCAACACACUGCAGGGGGAAUGACCCCCACUGUCUUCUCCUCCCAACACACUGCAGGGGGAAUGACCCCCACUGUCUUCUCCUCCCAACACACUGCAGGGGGAAUGACCCCCACUGCCUCCUCCUCCCAACACACUGCAGGGGGAAUGACCCCCACUGUCUUCUCCUCCCCCCACACUGCAGGGGGAAUGACCCCCACUGUCUUCUCCUCCCCCCACACUGCAGGGGGAAUGACCCCCACUGUCUUCUCCUCCCCACACACUGCAGGGGGAAUGACCCCCACUGCCUCCUCCUCCCAACACACUGCAGGGGUAAUGACCCCCACUGCCUCCUCCUUCCCCACACACUGCAGGGGGAAUGACCCCCACUGCCUUCUCCUCCCCCAACACUGCAGGGGGAAUGACCCCCACUGCCUCCUGCUCCCCACACACACACUGCAGGGGGAGUGACCCCCAUAUUUUAAUGCAGUGGUUUCUCUGGUCACUCACGGUCCAGCACUAGCACGCAGCAGUCGGGGAAAUGCUGUGGGUAUGAGACGGCCUGGAUUUUGAAGGCGCUGCAUGAAAAAGAAUGUAGAGAAUCUGAAUGCAUUUUAUGUAUAGAUUGCAUGUUGAAAUGAUGCUGUUGGGAUAUAUUAGGCAAAAUAAAAUAUAUCACAAUUU
RNAcentral lists this long non-coding RNA (1016 nucleotides) under Homo sapiens (human). RNAcentral's name for it is "non-protein coding KIF25-AS1:11". Lineage: Eukaryota; Metazoa; Chordata; Mammalia; Primates; Hominidae. The record is from RNAcentral.